RNAcentral lists this ribosomal RNA (500 nucleotides) under uncultured bacterium. Its description in RNAcentral is "partial 16S ribosomal RNA". It matches the Rfam family "Bacterial small subunit ribosomal RNA", at positions 28 to 507 of the family's 1533-position model. The record is from RNAcentral.
GACGAACGCUGGCGGCGUGCUUAACACAUGCAAGUCGAACGGGUCUGCCCUGUUUUUUGCGGGGUGGGUCAGUGGCGAACGGGUGAGUAACACGUGAGUAACCUGCCCCUCACUUCUGGAUAACCGCUUGAAAGGGUGGCUAAUACGGGGUGUUCUGGCUGUGCCGCAUGGUGUGGCUGGGAAAGAUUCACUUUUUUGGUGUUUUGGUGGGUGAUUGGCUCGCGGCGUAUCAGCUUGUUGGUGGGGUGAUGGCCUGCCAAGGCUUUGACGGGUAGCCGGCCGAGGAGGGUGGGCGGUCACACUGGGACUGAGAGACGGACAAGACUACGGCGGGAGGCAGCAGGGGGGGGUAUUGCACGAGGGGCGGAAGGCUGAUGCAGCGACGUGGGGUGAGGGAUGGAGGCCGUAGGGUUGUGAACCUCUUUCGCGGGUGAAGAAGGUCCUGCUCUUUGUGGUGGGGUUGACGGUAGCCGGGUUAUGAAGCGCCGGCUAACUACGUG